GCCCGAGUGGUGGAACUGGUAGACGCACUGGAUUCAAAAUCCAGCGCCCGCAAGGGCAUGUCGGUUCGAUUCCGACCUCGGGCACCA
RNAcentral lists this transfer RNA (87 nucleotides) under Alphaproteobacteria bacterium. RNAcentral's name for it is "tRNA-Leu". It matches the Rfam family "tRNA". From Rfam's summary of the family: Transfer RNA (tRNA) molecules are approximately 80 nucleotides in length. Their secondary structure includes four short double-helical elements and three loops (D, anti-codon, and T loops). RNAcentral also lists the same sequence under 2 other names. The record is from RNAcentral. Lineage: Bacteria; Pseudomonadati; Pseudomonadota; Alphaproteobacteria.